This 379-nucleotide ribosomal RNA is filed under the name uncultured eukaryote. Its description in RNAcentral is "partial 18S ribosomal RNA". It matches the Rfam family "Eukaryotic small subunit ribosomal RNA", at positions 592 to 975 of the family's 1831-position model. The record is from RNAcentral.
CAAUAGCGUAUAUUAAAGUUGUUGCGGUUAGAACGCUCGUAGUCGGAUUUCGGGGCGUUCCGACCGGUCUGCCGAUGGGUAUGCACUGGCCGGAGUGUCCUUUUUGCCGGAGACCGUGCCUACUCUUAACUGAGCGGGGGCGGGAGACGGCACUUUUACUUUGAAAAAAUCAGAGCGUUUCAAGCAGGCAGCUCGCUCUUGCAUGGAUUAGCAUGGGAUAAUGAAAUAGGACUUUGGUGCUAUUUUGUUGGUUUCGAACACCGAAGUAAUGAUGAGAAGGGACAGUCAGGGGCACUCGUAUUCCGCAGAGAGAGGUGAAAUUCUCAGACCCGCGGAAGACGAACCACUGCGAAAGCAUUUGCCAGGGAUGUUUNCACUG